AGAGUUUGAUCCUGGCUCAGAACGAACGCUGGCGGCGUGGCUAACACAUGCAAGUCGAACGCGAACGGCUCUUCGGAGCUUAUUAGAGUGGCGAAAGGGCGAGGAAUACUUGGGUAACGUACCCUACACACCGGGAUAACUGUGGGAAACUACAGAUAAUACUGGAUGAGACCACGACUCGUAAGAGUUGUGCUCAAAGGGCGGGGAUCUCUUCGGAGACCCGUUGGUGUGGGAGCGGCCCAAGUCCUAUCAGGUUGUUGGUGAGGUAAUGGCUCACCAAGCCUACGACGGGUACCGGGACUGAGAGGUUGAUCCGGCGCAUUGGGACUGAGACACUGCCCAGACUCCUACGGGAGGCUGCAGUAACGAAUAUUGGACAAUGAGCGAAAGCUUGAUCCAGCGACGCCGCGUGUAGGAUGAAGUCCCUCGGGAUGUAAACUACUGUCAGGGACUACCAAGCAAGGACUGUUAAUACCGGUCUGCGUUGAGGAAUCCCAGAGGAAGCCACGGCUAACUUCGUGCCAGCAGCCGCGGUAAGACGAAGGUGGCGAGCGUCGUUCGGAAUUACUGGGCUUAAAGCGCAUGUAGGCGGAUCAUCAGGUGUCUUGUGAAAGCCCUCGGCUCAACCGAGGAACUGCUGGGCAAACCGAUGAUCUUGAGGCAGGUAGGGGCAACGGGAACUCUUGGUGGAGCGGUGGAAUGCGUAGAUAUCAAGAGGAACGCCAGAGGCGAAGGCGCGUUGCUGGGCCUGUCCUGACGCUGAGAUGCGAAAGCGUGGGUAGCGAACGGGAUUAGAUACCCCGGUAGUCCACGCCCUAAACGAUGUCAACUAGAUCGAGGGUUCUCUGACGGAUUCUUGGUCGAAAUGAAAACGGUAAGUUGACCGCCUGGGGAGUACGGUCGCAAGGCUAAAACUCAAAGGAAUUGACGGGGGCUCACACAAGCGGUGGAGCAUGUUGCUUAAUUCGAUCAACGCGAAGAACCUUAUCCUGGGCUUGACAUAUUUGGAUGACCAUCUGGAAACAGAGUAGUCUGCUCUUCGGAGUGAAACUUAUACAGGUGCUGCAUGGCUGUCGUCAGCUCGUGUCGUGAGAUGUUGGGUUAAGUCCCGUAACGAGCGAAACCCUUGUCGUUAGUUGCCAGCGCGUUAUGGCGGGGACUCUAGCGAGACUGCCGGUGUUAAACCGGAGGAAGGUGGGGAUGACGUCAAGUCCUCAUGGCCUUUAUGCCCAGGGCUGCAAACGUGCUACAAUGGCGUGUACAAACCGACGCAAGACCGCGAGGUGGAGUAAAUCGGAAAAAACACGCCCCAGUUCGGAUUGGAGUCUGCAACUCGACUCCAUGAAGUCGGAAUCGCUAGUAAUCGCGUAUCAGCGUGACGCGGUGAAUGAGUUCCUGAGCCUUGUACACACCGCCCGUCAAGUCAUGGAAGCUGGUAGCACCCGAAGUCGCCCUAUUUCAGGGGUGCCGAAGGUGAGAU
Molecule: ribosomal RNA, 1480 nt
Filed under: metagenome
Description: bacterial SSU rRNA
Rfam family: Bacterial small subunit ribosomal RNA
Source: RNAcentral